AACCCUUCACCCACCCCUGCCCCUUUCUCUUUCUCUCUCUCUGGGCAAACCCUAACGACGGUAGGAACCCAGCCCCAUCCCAUCGUCGAGCUCUUCUCUUCCGAUAGACGAUGUUGUCACCGCCGGCAGAGACAGAUUUGGGUGCCGUCGUCGCUCGUGGAAGGUUUGCUCGCUUCUUGAUCCUCUUCUCCUCAACGUCGAGUGCUUGCUCGGAACUGUUGGCGGCGCCGCUGCGAAGGGCUUCUCCGUUGUCGUCUCUGCUUGAGUUGUUGGUGCCCAUCUCUCUCUUCGAGUCAUCUUUCUUCGAGUCAUCUCUCUCUUCGAGUUCUCUCUAUCCGAGGCUACGAGCUCUUUCUGUCUCUCUCUCUGCGACGUCUUUCUCUGAUCGGCUGUGGAGUAUUUGCCGCGCCGUCACCUUCCUCCCUCGCCGCCGAUAAGCACUACUACCUCAAUUUAUUUUGUUAAUUUUAUUUAUUCUGAUUUUUGAGUUGUUAGCUGUUGAUUUUUCAGAUUCUGCGUUGUUGAUGAACAUUGUUAAUGCUAGAAUUUUUUCAAUUCUGAGUCGUUUAUGUUGGUUUUUCUGAUUGAGUUGUUAAUUUUAGUUGCUGAUUUUGUCUGAUUCUGAAUUGUUGAUGGUGGUACAGUAAACUUGUUUUUCAUCACUUCUCAUCUUUCAGUAGCACAAAUAUAUUUCUUUCAAUAGCACUAAAAAUUGUUAUUUUUCAUUGCUAUCUUCUGCAUUUAAUUUCUGUUGAUUGCUGCUGUCUUUUACUUUUUAGCUUUUAAUUUUGUUAAUUAAAUGAAUUAAUCAAGUUUUUUUUAUACUGUUUUUGUAAGUUUUAAAUUAUGUUUUUGUUCUAUUGUUAAUUUGUAAAUGUAAUUUGAUUUCGUAAUAUGUUUGUUUGAUUUCAUAAUAUUUUUGUAAUUCUGUUUGUUUGUUCAAAUUAUGAUUAUGUUUGUUCAAAAUUUAAAUUAUGAUUAUGUUUGCAAAUUCAAUGGUUAGUGGUUAUUAGUGAUUUAUUUCAAUUGUUUGUUAUUUUUAUUAUUAGGUUAUAGAUUGAAAUUUUAAAUUUUAAAUUUUAUUAGGUUAAAUUUUAUUGAAAUUUAAAUAUUUAAAAUUAUAUAUUAAAUUUUUAAUAAUUUUAUUUAAUAUUUAAUUAAACCGGUUGAACCCCGGUUGAAUCCCAGUCGAACCAUUAAACCUGUGAACUAGUCGUCUCACCGGUUUAUUGACCGAUCCGGUUUUCACAACCUUGGUAUUAACACAUUUUUCUUUUGGUACAAGAUGAAUAAAACAUAUAUUACUUUUAAUAAUGGUAAGUGAACUUGCACUAUUUGUAAGACAAAUAUCUUUAUUAUAUGUCAUUGCUAUUUUUUUGAAGACAAAUAAUAAUAAUAAUAAUAAUAAUAAUAAUAUCAAAAAAUAAAUAAAGGUGUAUGCACAGUAAAAUUGUAUUCUUGAAUGGAACUGUUUGUUUAAGUAACACUGUACAAAAGAAUAGUAUCAUAUACUAAAAAUAUUAUUAUUAUUAUUAUUAUUACUAUUAUUAUUUUAUAAUUUGUGACAUAUUUAAUGAUUUUUUAAAAUUUUUUAAACAUAAAUAUUAAUAUUUUAUUAAACAUUAUUUAUAUACAUCAUACUUGAAACUCAAAUGCCUAAGAAAAAACUUAACAAGUUUUUUAUAUUAUUUUAUGGCAUAAGUACUUAACGAAUUCAAAUAUUAAACUUUUUUAUCAUUGAUGAAAUGACCAAUAUUUUCUUCAAGAUUCUCAAAGAAAUUAUAUACUUCAUAAUUAGUGGUAUAAUUUUCAGCAACAUCCUUUGAAACAAAAUUUGUCUCCUCUCAUUUGUCAUCUUUCUUUAAAGAUUCUUGAUAAAGAUCAACUAAGUGUCUUGAGGUACGACAGGUACGUGACCAAUGACGUUUUCCACCGCAACAGAAACAUUUAUUCUCUAUUGAUUUAUUUUACUCAUUAUUUUUUUCUUUAUCCCACUUCUAGUGAGAUCAUUUCUUGUGAAAAUAAUUUUUCUUCCUCCCAUCAUUUUUCUUCUUACCAAAGUCUUAUCAUUUACCUCUUAUGGGGUUAUAAUUUGCCGCAUUUAUUUCAGGAAAUAGGCCGGCGCCAACUGUGCGCGCAUCAUGAUUUAUUAAAAGUAAUUCAUUAUUUCGUUUAGCAACAAGAGCACAAAAAUUAUAUCUGAAUAUUUUUUAAAUUCUUUUUCUCAAUACUGCAGCUGCCUGUUGCAAGAGCACUUUCGAGGCACAGAAAGUUAAGAAAGUUUUUUCUAACAUGUCAUUAUCAUAUCUUUUUUCCACAUAAUUUCGUUCAUGAGAUAAUUCGGAACAUGGCUGAAUCAUAUUCAUUUAUGAAUUUAAAAUUCUGUAGACACAAAUGCGUUCAUUUAUAUCAAGCUUGAGGAAGUAUCACUGACAUUUGAUAAUUAUACUUUUCUUCAAGAUUCUUCCAAAGAUCUGUAGAAUCUUUUAAUGUGAGAUACUCAUCUUUCAGACUUUCAUCAAGAUGACGACGAAGGAAGAUCAUGACUUUAACUUUAUCUUUUGGAAAUUUUUUAUUAUCAUAUUUAAUGAUAUCUCCAAAAUCUGUUGAAUCAAAAUGGAUUUAACAUCAAAUAUUCAUGAUAAGUAGUUAUCUCCAAAUAUAUUAUGACCAUUAAGUUCAAGAUGAAAGAGUUUUGAUAUAUGUAAAUUUAUUACAUGUGUCUUCCUAAAUUUUUAUCAAAGCAUUGUGCUGAUAACGUAUACCCCAUACAAAUAUUCAUUGGAUCAUUUAGAUAUCUUUAGUCCUUUAGGGACUUUUAUAUAGAUAUCACGAUCUAAUGAUCCGUAUAAAUAGGUUGUUACCACAUCCAUUAGAUGUAUAUGUAGUUUAUAGUAUGCGGAUAAAUUGAUCAAAUAAUACAAUAUUAUUACAUCUACUACAGGAGAAUAUGUUUCUUCAUAAUCUAUACCGGGCCUUUGUGAAAAACUUUGCACCACAAGUCGAGUUUUGUAGCGUACAACUUCAUUCUUCUCAUUUUGUUUUAUCACAAAUACUCAUUUGUAUCCAAUAGGUUUUACAUCUUCUGGUGUACGGACUAUAGGUCAAAAGACUUCACGUUUUGCAAUAUUUUCAGGUACCUGAACGUCUUCUGGCGUCAAAACUAUAUCAAAGUUUUGAACAACUGCAGUGGCCAUUUGUCCGACUGGAAGAUCAAUUCAAAUUGGAGCAUUUCAGCUGGUAUAUAGGAUUUAGUUAUCCUUUUCAUAUCAGAAAAUGUAUCAGGCAAUUCAUUUAUUAUUAUUUACAAAUGUAUAAUCUUUUGAACUUCUAGUUCACAUUGUCUUAAUCGAGGAUCUAAAUGCAUCAAGGAUGAUGCAUUCCAAUUAAGUUCCUUUUCAUAAAGCUUAUUCUCUCCCCCUAAUUUUGAAAAUUUUUUAUAAUCAAAAUGAUAAUCCGCAACUCGAGCUUUAAAAACAUCUUCAGUUUGUAUCUCAAGAUACCUCACUAUAGAGGGAGAAUCAUAUCCAACAUAUAUCGCUAAUUUUUUUUGGGUCCCAUUUUGGUGCGAAAAGGUGGUGCAAUAGAAACAUAAGUAAUUAUAGGCGUUUAAUAAGUGAUUAUACUAACCCAUUUUGUGUGUGAACAUUAGCUACUGGAUGUUCAAUGCUUAUUCCAUUAGCCAAACAAUAAGCAUAAAUGGUUUGGAAAGUAAAUUCACCAGCAUUAUCAAGAUGAAUUGCUUUGAUUGAAUUUUUUGGAAACUGUGCUUUUAAUCGAAUCAUUUGAGCAAGUAAUCUCGUAAAUACCAUGUUGUAAAAAGACA
This is a long non-coding RNA of Arachis stenosperma, 3826 nucleotides long. RefSeq lists it as uncharacterized. The record is from RefSeq and is a predicted model, not a curated record. NCBI's taxonomy places the organism in Eukaryota, Viridiplantae, Streptophyta, Magnoliopsida, Fabales, Fabaceae. The transcript is spliced from 3 exons.